CUAGUUUGUUGUAUUUUUUAGAUGCCACAUAUGUGAGGCCAUGCAAUAUUUGUCUUUCUCUGUCUGAUUUAUUUCACUUAUCAUAAUACACUCCAGGCCCAUCCAUGUGGCUGCAAAUGGCAACAUUUCAUUCUUUUUUCUGGAUGAGUAGUAUUCCAUUAUAUAUAUAUAUCACAUCUUCUUUAUUCAUUCAUCUAUUGAUGGAUAGCUGGGUUGCUUCCCUAUCUUGGCAAUUGUAAAUAAUGCUGCUAUGAAUACUAAGGUGCAUGUUCCUUUUCAAAUUAUGUUUUUUUGGGGGGAGUGAUAUUGCUGAGUCAUAUGAGAGUUUUUAGUUUUUUAAUAAACCUCUUUUUCUUCAUUCUUCAUGGGCAAUCCCUGGGCAACCCAUGCAAAUUCCGUCUCUAAGACCCAUCACUCUACACUGUACAAUGUGGGGAAGAAAGCCGAUAUUUUGCAAUACCUAUAAGUGGAAAAUAAGCUUUAGAAAUUGUGAGUCAUGGGAGUUCCCUGGUGGUCUCAUGGUUAGGAUUUAGCACCUUCACCACCGCAGCCUGGGUUCAAUUCCUGGCCUGGGAACUGAGAUCCCACAUCAAGCUGCUGUAUGCAGCGGCCAACAGAAAAAAGAGAAAAAAAAUUGUGAAUCACCAUAUUGUAUACUUGUAACCUGUAAUAGAGUACAACAACUGUAAUUCAAUUUAAAAAAUGAAUAAAAUAUUAAAUAAAUUAAAUGCAUCACACAUCUACCCAUCUUUCUAUCUCUAUUGCUGAUGCCCUGAUCCAAGCUAUCAUGUGUUUUACUGGAUCAUGAUAGGAGAUCUCUGAUUUCUUCCCUCUCUUCUUCCAUUCAGGACUGUAAGAAAAGCAUUUUAGGAAUUGAAAAGAGAGUGCACAUGUUACAGCCAGUUGCAAGGGUCCAAGAAGACCUCCUGAAGGAGAUCUGAGUGAUGGAUAGGACAGGAAUACAACCGGCAUGAAGGGAAAGAGGAGCGGGGUAUGGCAACCGACAUGCCAAGAACAGCCGGGAACAGAAUGAACAGGCACCUGUUGGGUGGCCCUGAGGACCAGGCAAUGUCCCUCCUCCCUGUGGAAAGAGUUUGACUGGUGGACUUGGCUCUUAUUAAAAACGAUGCCCUGAGUUAACAUGUUCCUAUUCAAGUUAUUCUAUCUUUUUCUUUGUGGCCACACCCACAGCAUAUGGAAGUUCCCUGGCCAAAUUCGAGCCACAGCUGUGACCUACACCACAGCUGCAGCGACACUGGACCCUUUUAACCCACUGCCCUGGGGCCGGGGGAUGGAACCAGCACCUCUGCAGCAACCCAAGCCACGGAAGUCAGAUUCUUGACCCACUGUGCCACAGUGGGAACUCUGAGUUAGUCAAUCUUAAAAUGAUCACUGUUCAACUCUCAACCAAGCAAUCUGUGAGUAAUUUCAUGUGUCUCUUUUACUGCGUAGACAAGAUCUUGUUCACAGCUCUUGGUAACUGCUACUCCUGCUUUCAGUGAUAUACUUGCUGAUGAGGAAGAAGUAAUCUAAGCAGUUUCAGGCUUGAUUUGAAACAACCGUGGAUUUAUCCAUGAAGUCUCUUUUAGCCAAAACAGAGUAGGCUUUCUUCGUAACAUGGUUUCUCCAGUAAGUUAUUUUGCAUGUGACAAAUUUACCAGUGGCUCUUCCAAGGGGGGUUUUUUAACUGAAAAAUAAAUGAUGCAAAAUCAAGUAGGUUUGCUUAUGGUUCAAAAAUUUUAAAUGAAUCCUUAUAAAUCAGGUAGAAAUACUGUUCUUUGCUCCUCCUCAUCACCAAAGACAGUUGCCCAUUAUCCUGGUUUUCUGAAAGGAAAACCAAACUGUCCAAGGGAAAAAAAAAACCAUGUUAAUCAUUUGAAGCGCUACGUUCCUAUGAAACCUAUGGAUGAAAACCCAGAGAGGGACAAUUCCUUUAUCCUCAGGCUCAAGCAAAAUCUUGAUGUUUCUCUUCUGAGUGCUCAAUGCCUUGUUCUCGGAGCUGCCUGGCGGGGCUGGGGUCGGGGGGAGCUUGCAAAGAGACACACAACCCUCUGCCAGCAUGGAAGGGUGAUAGUGGGGGAAUUUGCAGAGCUACAGAGUGAGUAGGCAUGCUAUGCAUGCACACCCCUCCACACACACAUCCUUUACAAAUAUGGAGGAGUUCCUGUCAUGGCGCUUCGGAAACGAAUCCGACCAGGAACCAUGAGGUCACGGGUUUGAUCCCUGGCCUCGCUCAGUGGGUUAAGGAUCCGGCGUUGCCGUGAGCUGUGGUGCAGGUCGCAGACGCGGCUCAGAUCCCUCGUUGCUGUGGCUGUGGUGUAGGCUGGCGGCUACAGCUUCAAUUAGACCUCUAGUCUGGGGAGUGCAGCCCCCCAAAAAAGCAAAAAAAAACAAAAAACACAGAGGUACCUAGAAAACCAUUAGGUCUUAGGAUACAUAUAACCACAGAAAGCCAGCUAGCAAGUACACAGAGAUAAAUAGCAAGUGAGCAGCAGAGAAGAUGGUUUCUAUGCAAAAAGCAGCUAAGGAAUGACUCCCCUGAGUUUUUCUUGUAAAGAAAUCCAUAAGCCAGGUAAUAGUGCACGAGCCCUGGACUCUAAAUAGUGUUGUAGAGAUUAGAAAUAUAGAGAAAUGGAUGCAUUUUAAGCUCCUGGGAAAAAAAAAAAAAAAAGCUGUG
Molecule: long non-coding RNA, 2677 nt
Filed under: Sus scrofa (pig)
Lineage: Eukaryota; Metazoa; Chordata; Mammalia; Artiodactyla; Suidae
Description: lncRNA (ENSSSCG00065067492.1)
Source: RNAcentral